This 742-nucleotide ribosomal RNA is filed under the name Acinetobacter junii. RNAcentral describes it as "bacterial SSU rRNA". It matches the Rfam family "Bacterial small subunit ribosomal RNA", at positions 56 to 792 of the family's 1533-position model. The record is from RNAcentral. Lineage: Bacteria; Pseudomonadati; Pseudomonadota; Gammaproteobacteria; Moraxellales; Moraxellaceae.
UGCAAGUCGAGCGGAGCGAGGGUGCUUGCACCUUAGCUGAGCGGCGGACGGGUGAGUAAUGCUUAGGAAUCUGCCUAUUAGUGGGGGACAACAUUCCGAAAGGAAUGCUAAUACCGCAUACGCCCUACGGGGGAAAGCAGGGGAUCUUCGGACCUUGCGCUAAUAGAUGAGCCUAAGUCGGAUUAGCUAGUUGGCGGGGUAAAGGCCCACCAAGGCGACGAUCUGUAGCGGGUCUGAGAGGAUGAUCCGCCCCACUGGGACUGAGACACGGCCCAGACUCCUACGGGAGGCAGCAGUGGGGAAUAUUGGACAAUGGGCGGAAGCCUGAUCCAGCCAUGCCGCGUGUGUGAAGAAGGCCUUUUGGUUGUAAAGCACUUUAAGCGAGGAGGAGGCUACUUAGAUUAAUACUCUAGGAUAGUGGACGUUACUCGCAGAAUAAGCACCGGCUAACUCUGUGCCAGCAGCCGCGGUAAUACAGAGGGUGCGAGCGUUAAUCGGAUUUACUGGGCGUAAAGCGUGCGUAGGCGGCUUUUUAAGUCGGAUGUGAAAUCCCCGAGCUUAACUUGGGAAUUGCAUUCGAUACUGGGAAGCUAGAGUAUGGGAGAGGAUGGUAGAAUUCCAGGUGUAGCGGUGAAAUGCGUAGAGAUCUGGAGGAAUACCGAUGGCGAAGGCAGCCAUCUGGCCUAAUACUGACGCUGAGGUACGAAAGCAUGGGGAGCAAACAGGAUUAGAUACCCUGGUA